UGAACCUUCUGCUUGGUCUCCUUCACCAGAAGAAACUCCGCCUAUCCUCAAAAAAAAAAAAAAAAAAAAAAAAAACUCCGCCUAUUUUGGCAGCUCACCCCUUGCUGAGGUUGUCCUCACCAUCCAUCGUUGACUAGGAUGAACGCUACUGCGCGAUGUCGUCUGUCCGCCGCCGUUCAGGAUCGAAGCUGCAGCCCACCCUUUGCGCCGCAAAAGAAAUGCUUGCACCUUGGUUCGACUGCUGGGAGGAGGACCACCCAGCGAGGUGACUGAGUUGCUGCCGCCAGACCAUGCAGUGGCAACUCUGUCUGGUACAUCUGCAGUUCUGCAUGUGUGUUUGUGGGCUUGUGGCUAGAAUGAGAACUGUGGCUACAUCCACCCCUCACUAUCGCGCAGUGCGAUUGUGGACACCUCAGUUUAUUUUUCUGAGUAUGCUCCACUCCCAUUCAGUGUGGUGGAUUUGAGAGGUUCGAGAGGUCCAAGCGACGGCGCCCGAACAGACCCCAUGUAGCCGACCCGUAAAAGAGCAUCUACUGCGAAUAUCCUUUUUCCUGGUCCAUUUGCGGGGUCUGACUCUGCCCCUGCCCGCGUAGGCCCGCAAAGCCGUUUUUCCGCGAACUACAAACGCGUUUUGCGGGUCGACAUUAUACUGGGUCUGCUAGAGAUGCUCUUACCCCACUGAAGCAAUAUAUGUGUCCGGUUUUAGUUCAACCUUUGUCCUAGAUCAACAAAUUUCACAGUUAGAUCUCAAUAACAUAUGUAUUGAAUGUUGCUUUUUUAUCCUUCAUAUAUAGUGUAGGCCUCCCCUUGCUUAUAUGUUGCCCCUUUUUAUUUGGAAAAGCUCAAGAUUUUUUUGCUGAAAGAAUGCUUCAAUUUUUUCUUAACAAAAAAUAAUUGCUAUUUGUAGCAUUAAUAAUGGGUUAUCUUUCCUUUUUGCUGAUAGGUUGUUGACUUUUAUUUUGCUUGGUUGCUUUCCAUAUUGAACUGGAUGAAUAUAGUGGGAGUGUAUAUUUAUCCAAGUGAUUAUAGUAAGAUGCCAUAUUGGUUUUAUCCACCGAGAAAAUGAUUUUCAGCAGAUCUUCGAUUCUUCGCAAAUGAUGUCUCGACCCGACCACCAGCAGCCUGGUGUCCAUCAAUUCAAGACCGUGCCUCCUCCCUAAUUAGGGUUUCUCUGCCUCCCGCUGGCGCCGAUGCCAGCCCGUCUCGUCUCCGGUGGCCUUAGGGCUAUGGGGGCGCGGUGGAUGCUGGCCCUUGCCGGUGAGAGGGCUCUUGUUUUAAAUGUGUCUUCGAGAUUUGUUAGGGUUUGUGUCCUGUACAGGAAAACGAGACGCGGCGGCAGCUCCCUGAAGAUGGAAUAAGGUUCUCUCUGCCUAGCCCCCCUUUGAUGGUGCGUCUAGCGUCAUCGGUGGGCGUGUGGAGGCGUGUCUACGGCGGAUCUGUCUUUGCUGGAUUUGUUCGGAUCUGUUCGUCUACGUUUGUAUGCCUUCAGAUUGGAUUCUUCCGAUCUACAUUACUCUUCAUCGACGACGGUUGCUGUUCUGGUGCGUUCUGGUGCGCUGGUCCUACGAGGCCUUAGCACGACGACUUCCAGACUGUCUACUACAAAAAGUUUUCCCGGCUCCAGUGAGGGAGGGGUGAUGACUGUCUUCAGCUCGCUUUAGUGCUUGUAAUUGUUGCUAGGUGGUCUAUGGAUUUGGAUGU
This is a long non-coding RNA of Triticum aestivum (bread wheat), 1701 nucleotides long. RefSeq lists it as uncharacterized. Lineage: Eukaryota; Viridiplantae; Streptophyta; Magnoliopsida; Poales; Poaceae. The record is from RefSeq and is a predicted model, not a curated record. The transcript is spliced from 3 exons.